CCUACGGGGUGCAGCAGUGAGGAAUAUUGGUCAAUGGCCGGAAGGCUGAACCAGCCAUGCCGCGUGAAGGUCAGUGCCCUAUGGGCGUUAAACUUCUUUUGUGCGGGAGCAAUAAUGGUCACGUGUGGCCAGACGAGAGUACCGUACGAAUAAGCAUCGGCUAACUCCGUGCCAGCAGCUGCGGUAAUUCGGGGGAUGCAAGCGUUAUCCGGAUUUAUGGGGUUUAAAGGGUGCGUAGGCUGUGAGGUAAGUCAGCGGUGAAAUGCCCCCGCUCAACGGGGUGAAAUGCCAUUGAUACUGUCUUGCUGGAAUGCCGAUGCCGAAGGAGGAAUGGGUAGUGUAGCGGUGGAAUGCA
RNAcentral lists this ribosomal RNA (355 nucleotides) under uncultured bacterium. RNAcentral's name for it is "partial 16S ribosomal RNA". It matches the Rfam family "Bacterial small subunit ribosomal RNA", at positions 338 to 690 of the family's 1533-position model. The record is from RNAcentral.